This 429-nucleotide ribosomal RNA is filed under the name bacterium. RNAcentral describes it as "partial 16S ribosomal RNA". It matches the Rfam family "Bacterial small subunit ribosomal RNA", at positions 355 to 776 of the family's 1533-position model. The record is from RNAcentral.
UAGGGAAUCUUCGGCAAUGGGGGCAACCCUGACCGAGCAACGCCGCGUGAGUGAAGAAGGUUUUCGGAUCGUAAAGCUCUGUUGUAAGAGAAGAACGUGUGUGAGAGUGGAAAGUUCACACAGUGACGGUAACUUACCAGAAAGGGACGGCUAACUACGUGCCAGCAGCCGCGGUAAUACGUAGGUCCCGAGCGUUUUCCGGAUUUAUUGGGCGUAAAGCGAGCGCAGGCGGUUUAAUAAGCCUGAAGUUAAAGGCAGUGGCUUAACCAUUGUUCGCUUUGGAAACUGUUAAACUUGAGUGCAGAAGGGGAGAGUGGAAUUCCAUGUGUAGCGGUGAAAUGCGUAGAUAUAUGGAGGAACACCGGUGGCGAAAGCGGCUCUCUGGUCUGUAACUGACGCUGAGGCUCGAAAGCGUGGGGAGCAAACAGG